Meriones unguiculatus (Mongolian gerbil) is the source of this 106-nucleotide small nuclear RNA. The record is from Ensembl. NCBI's taxonomy places the organism in Eukaryota, Metazoa, Chordata, Mammalia, Rodentia, Muridae.
ACACUCACUUCAACAGCAUAUAUACUAAAAUUAGAAGAUAUGGAGAAGAUUAGCAUGGCACCUACACAAGGAUGACACAAAAAUUCGUGAAGAGUUUCACAUAUUU